UCAUGACUGACAAAGUAAUCUUGUUAAAAAAAUUUCAUCACUUUAAACUCUUUCCUACUAGAACCAGUGCGAGUUUAUGUAAAACCACUUUAAUAUAUUCAGGAGUUCAUCAUUAACUUAUUCAGGAGUUUCAGUUAUAAUCUCAGAAGAUAGCUCCGACCGGGUAUCAAAACUAGAGAAAAAGGUUAGUGCUUUAUAGCAUUGUGUGUUUUCUCAUAUUUCAGUUGUGUGGUUCUGUCUGUUUGAUGUAGUUAUUGUUCCUUAUUUUGUGUAUGAUAUCCUUUUAAUUGGCUUAAUUGAUGUGUAACUUGCUGGAAAAUUUUGUGUGAGUCUGCGGAUGUAGGAGUUGAUAAAGAGACUUGAAUAAGGUAAGCUUUCGUGAUGAAUUGGUAAAUCAUUUUCUAGAUUCUGAACCUUGACUUAUACUGAAACUCACGCCAUAAAAAGCACAAAUUCAACGUAUUAAGUGAAUAAGGUUUGAACUAAUAAUCCUUGAACAAUGGCUGGUGGAGUUGCACUGAGAGGUAAGAUAAUAUGAGCCGAGGAAACAACCAAAUGACGACAGGGAGGAUUCUGAUUUCAAGAUGAAGGAUUGCUUCCUCGGCUGCAAAGACGGUUUGACGACCACCAUUUAAUACAAGGUUUGAACUGGUGAUCUUUUCUCUCCAAGACUAUUCCCUUGGGAAGGUAUUUCUAAUUACCAGAUAAAGUCCAUGUAAGUCAUUCAGUUUAACCAGACAAUAACUAAUUCCCUCUCUGAUAAUUCUGCUGAUCAGCUUCUUUUUGUUUUUCUUGAUGCGAGAAUGAAUCUUAGUUCAAGUGGGUUACAAGGACCAAUAGCCUUUUCCUUUAGAGAUCUCUCCCUCCUCGAGUUAUCGUAAGUGUACAAAUGCAAGCCAUACAAACACACACUUUCCAAGAGCUUUCUUCAGUUGAAAUGGAACUUAUUGACAAACGGUUUGAAGAUGAAGGAUUGUUUGGCUGCAAAGAAAAUCAUUCAGUAGCCAACAAAGUUUAAACAAGGUUUUCAUAAGAAAGAGCAAAAGUUUCAGAUACGUGUCAAUAUACUCAUGAAUGAUGAGAGGUUUCAGCUAUGAUCUUCCAUUUAUUCAGAGGAUAGCUCCGACGGAGUAUCCAAAUUAGAAAAUGAAAUAACUUUGUGUGAAUCUGCUGAUGUAUCUAUUAAGGAGUUGAUAAAGAGACUUAAUGAAGGCCCAAAGUCUUGGCGUUGAGAACUUGAUGAUGAUAGAUAUUAUAAACUUGCAAAUAUUUGCAUUAUAUAUUCAGAAAACGAGAAGCAGAAUCUCGCUUCGUUUUUUUCCUAUCUUGCUUUCCAUUAGUUUCUAAAAGUGCUUUCAGUCCAAUGUCUUGGCGUUGAGAACUCGAUGAUGCGAAAAAAGAGAAGCAUGUAUUUAUCAUUUCUAUCUGUUCACACCAUCGAAAGGAUAAAACCAAUGUAUAAAGUCAAUAAGGUUUGGACUGGUGAUCCUUGCUCUCCAAGACUAUUCUUUUGAAAGGAAUUCUACUGAUGAGCUUAGUUCAAGUGGAUUACAAGGACCAAUAGCUGUCUCAUUUAGAAAUCUCUCCCUUUUUGAGUCAUUGAAAUUACUUGACUGGGUUUGCCCCAAGAUCUCAUAGGAAAAAAACAAUGGCUAGUGAACUUGCACAGAGAGGUACAUUUUCUUGUCAAAACCUCGGUACCAUAGUCAUCUUCUUAAGACAAUCUUUGUCUGUACCAUUUUCUGUAGCUUCUUAAUUUUCUCUCUGUUUCCAGUGUAGAUGAAUAGA
This 1788-nucleotide small RNA is filed under the name Arabidopsis thaliana (thale cress). Its description in RNAcentral is "ncRNA (AT1G33615)". Lineage: Eukaryota; Viridiplantae; Streptophyta; Magnoliopsida; Brassicales; Brassicaceae. The record is from RNAcentral.